RNAcentral lists this transfer RNA (74 nucleotides) under Caudoviricetes sp. RNAcentral's name for it is "tRNA-Met". It matches the Rfam family "tRNA". From Rfam's summary of the family: Transfer RNA (tRNA) molecules are approximately 80 nucleotides in length. Lineage: Duplodnaviria; Heunggongvirae; Uroviricota; Caudoviricetes. The record is from RNAcentral.
UGUGGGGUGGUAGCAGUUGGUAGCUCACUAGGCUCAUAACCUAGAGGUCGAGGGUUCGAGUCCCUCCCCCGCGC